RNAcentral lists this long non-coding RNA (698 nucleotides) under Mus musculus (house mouse). Its description in RNAcentral is "long non-coding RNA chr18:23388211-23388909". Lineage: Eukaryota; Metazoa; Chordata; Mammalia; Rodentia; Muridae. The record is from RNAcentral.
UUCCAACAUUAAAGGUGGUCAUGCCUAGCUUUUACCACACGCUGGAUAGGUGCCACACACUACUCUAGAAAGAGCAUACAACUAAGAGCAAGACAGCGUUCUUGUUUUUUAAAAACUCACAUGCUUCCCAGCAAUGAAAACAGAAAACACACAAGAAGUAAAUGUAUAAGAUAGCACACAAUGACCAUAAGAUGUAUGAUGGUGCAAAGGGGGAAAGUGACUGGGGCCCCAUUGGAGAAAGAAAAGAGACACACUCAUACAGUGAGCAGUCUGAAGGAUGUCUUUGUUAUAAAGUGCUAUUUUAGGAGAGACCUAAAUAAAGUCAAGAGUCAAAUCAUGCAAAUAUCUGGGAAAUGCUACUGAAGUUGAAAAGCAGACUUGUCCUGAGACUAAGUAUGUGCGUCAUCACUGAGGAACAGGGAGACUGGGGUAGCCGACUUGGAGAAGGAGAAAGUCAUGCUAAGAGAUGAGGUCACCACCACAGUGGCCAGACUAAGACUUUUGAUGGAGAUCUCUAAUGCCUAUGACCAGGACAGACUGAUUGUCACACUGUUCUUAUUACAUAAACUAGGCAUGGCCACCUUUAAUGUUGGAACAUGGCAACUGUCAUCAGGACAGGUAAAGUAUACAGUGAGAUUUAAUUCAAAAUACUUAAUAGCUUUAGGUUCUAAUGAGUAUAAUACAAAGACAGGGCAUCA